Molecule: ribosomal RNA, 481 nt
Filed under: uncultured bacterium
Lineage: Bacteria
Description: partial 16S ribosomal RNA
Rfam family: Bacterial small subunit ribosomal RNA
Source: RNAcentral
AUUGAACGCUGGCGGCAUGCCUUACACAUGCAAGUCGAACGGUAACAGGUCUUCGGACGCUGACGAGUGGCGAACGGGUGAGUAAUGCAUCGGAACGUGCCCAGUCGUGGGGGAUAACUGCUCGAAAGAGCAGCUAAUACCGCAUACGACCUGAGGGUGAAAGCGGGGGACCGUAAGGCCUCGCGCGAUUGGAGCGGCCGAUGUCAGAUUAGCUAGUUGGUGGGGUAAAGGCCUACCAAGGCAACGAUCUGUAGUUGGUCUGAGAGGACGACCAGCCACACUGGGACUGAGACACGGCCCAGACUCCUACGGGAGGCAGCAGUGGGGAAUUUUGGACAAUGGGCGCAAGCCUGAUCCAGCAUGCCGCGUGCAGGAAGAAGGCCUUCGGGUUGUAAACUGCUUUUGUCAGGGAAGAAAUCUUCUGGGCUAAUACCCCGGGAGGAUGACGGUACCUGAAGAAUAAGCACCGGCUAACUACGUG